UACGGGGGGGGCAAGCGUUGUUCGGAAUUACUGGGCGUAAAGGGCUCGUAGGUGGCCAACUAAGUCAGACGUGAAAUCCCUCGGCUUAACCGGGGAACUGCGUCUGAUACUGGAUGGCUAGAGUUUGGGAGAGGGAUGCGGAAUUCCAGGUGUAGCGGUGAAAUGCGUAGAUAUCUGGAGGAACACCGGUGGCGAAGGCGGCCCACUGGCUCGAUACUGACGCUGAGGUGCGAAAGCGUGGGGAGCAAACAGG
This 253-nucleotide ribosomal RNA is filed under the name uncultured bacterium. RNAcentral describes it as "partial 16S ribosomal RNA". It matches the Rfam family "Bacterial small subunit ribosomal RNA", at positions 524 to 776 of the family's 1533-position model. The record is from RNAcentral.